CAGUCGCCGCGGUAAUACGGAGGGUGCAAGCGUUAAUCGGAAUUACUGGGCGUAAAGCGCACGCAGGCGGUCUGACAAGUCAGAUGUGAAAUCCCCGGGCUUAACCUGGGAACUGCAUUUGAAACUGUCAGGCUGGAGUCUUGUAGAGGGGGGUGGAAUUCCAGGUGUAGCGGUGAAAUGCGUAGAGAUCUGGAGGAAUACCGGUGGCGAAGGCGGCCCCCUGGACAAAGACUGACGCUCAGGUGCGAAAGCGUGGGGAGCAAACAGGAUUAGAUACCCAGGUAGUCCCUGUCUCUUAUAC
This 301-nucleotide ribosomal RNA is filed under the name uncultured bacterium. RNAcentral's name for it is "partial 16S ribosomal RNA". It matches the Rfam family "Bacterial small subunit ribosomal RNA", at positions 509 to 807 of the family's 1533-position model. The record is from RNAcentral.